Molecule: non-coding RNA, 7190 nt
Organism: Equus caballus (horse)
Lineage: Eukaryota; Metazoa; Chordata; Mammalia; Perissodactyla; Equidae
Source: RefSeq, a predicted model, not a curated record
GACUCCUCUCCGUGGGCGCUGCAGCAGGAAUGUGGCUGCAAGGGCGCAAGCUUUGGAGACAAGGAAUCUUGGGCUGGAAUCCCAGCUGUGGCCCUUCCUGGCUGUGUGACUUUGGACACUUCGCUGUCUCUACUUUGCCAAAAUGAAAACUCCGUCCACGAGUAGUUAAGGACGAGCCAGGCGCUUUGAAGAGCGCCUCUGCUACAACUCAGAAAAGACCUCUUUCUCCUGGAGCCUACAUUCUAGGGGGAAGUGGGCGUAAACUGAUUUUUUAAAGUGAUAAAUCAGAUAAUGGGUAAUUGCAGAGAAGAAAAUAAAGUGAGGUCAUCUGGGGGUGGGAAGAAAACCCACUUUGGAUGGGGUGAUGAGAGAAGACUUCUGUGAAGGGUGACAUUUGAGCUCAGAUCUGAAAGGAGAGGAUUCUUCCUCCCCCAGCUGGGUGGGAGAGGACAUUUUUUGGCUGAAGAGGCAACCAAAGCAAAGGCCCUGAGGCGGACCAAGGUUGGAAUCUCCUUUAGCCGAGGUCAAGUUUUGCAGCAAGCCCUGCCCUUGAUCCUCUGCCCAGAUGUUCAAGAUCCUGUCUACUAUGGUCUCCAAGGGCGCGGCUCACCACAAGAACAGCCUGGAAUCCGCAGACAACAGUUCCUCUUCAACCAUUGAAGGAAAAAAGAGACAUGUGAAAAAAGACAAAGGCCUCAGGGACCUUGCCUGCCCUGCCCCCAUGCCCAGCCCCCUGGGAGGCCCAUGGAGACUCCUGCAAAACCUAGAGCGCCCACUGCUGCUGCCACUGUCGGCCGGCGCCUCGGCUCCAGAGUCAGCAGACCCCGCCAGCUGGCUCCGCCACUUCCCUCCUCCAUGGAGUAGGGUCCUAAAACUAAAUGAAAGAGAACCAUGGGCCAAGACAGAGCAGAUGUCUAGGACACAGGAGGGCUGUGUCCAUGAGGCCUCUUUCAGAUGCCAGGAACAGAAACUCAAGUCCAACGAGGUUAAACCAGUGUCCAAGAUUGCUCCUGACCGCUCAGCUAAUCCUUUCCACAUAUCUGGGGACGUGGAUUUCUUCUUGCUCAGAGAUCAGGAACGGAAUAAGUCUCGCGCAGAGCGGGAGCGGAAGAAAGCGCUGCGGGUGCACGAGAAGAUGACCUACGCGUCCGAGGUGGCGGCCAAGCACACGAGCCUGCGGCGCCAGCUGCAGCUGGAGGACGAGAUGGAGGACCUGGCGGCGUGCGCCGAGGCCGAGCAGCUGCGCACCUGCCACGCGCGCGCCGCCUGGAAGCUCUGCAUGACCAGAGAGAAGACGCUGGGGUCUGAGAGCAUCAGCAGCUACAUGGGCCAGAGGCGGCAGUCAUUCCUCAUCCAGUACGCCCUAGAUAUGAAGCGGAGGGAGAUCCAGCGGCUGGAGGUGCUGGCCACCAAGGAGGAGGCGGCGCUGGAGCGCGCCGAGAGGUCCCUGGAGAACGACGCGGCGCUGUUCGACGAGUUCCUCCGGGAGAACGACCGCAGCUCCGUGCAGGCCCUGAGAGCGGCUGAGAAGGAAACCAAAGCAAAGGUGGAGAAAAUCAUCGAGAUCCGAGACCUGACCACCCAGAUCAUGAAUAUCAAAAGUGAAAUCUCCAAAUUCGAAGACACACUGCAGCAUUACAAGGCCUACAAGGAUUUCCUGUACAAGCUGUCGCCCAAGGACUGGCUGGAAGAGCAGAAGUGCUUGGCUCUCAAAAAGGCCAAGGAGAGGGCCGAGGCCUCCAAAGACAGCACUCUGUCCUCCACACUAGGGGACAAAGGUCCAGGGAUCAAGGGCAAGACCAGCCCCAGAGACGGGCAGGGCCCAAAGAAGCCCUGGAAGAUUCUGCAGGUUAUGCGGCUGGGGCAGAUGCUGUCCAGCAACGCCAGCCUCCAGUCAGGCAGCCAGUCCAGCGGGACUAGUGGGCUGGAACCCAAAGGCUCCUCCAGCACCCACUGGACAGCCAAGGACCUCUCAAACAUCUUCUGGAUUUCUUCCCGCAGUGCCGCUGAGAACACCCUGUCUUCUCCAGCCGUGAUGAGUGCCACAGGACAGACCUCCUCCUGCCCCCAGCCAGCCUCCACCCCGUCAUCUCACUCCUCCAGCUCAGCCCGCCAAGCCCUAGCAUGUAACAGGCCAAGCUCUGCCCUCCCUGUGCAGGAGGACCCGGACAGCGACGGGGAGGAGCUGGCGCUGUACUUCACGGAGCCCCAGCAGCUCCUGGACGUCUUCACGGAGCUGGAGGAGCAGAACCUCUCACUGAUCCAGAACACUCAGGAGAUGGAGGAGGCCUUGGAGGAGCUGAGGUUCAACCUGAAAACCACCCAGAUCCGCAUGGACAGGGAGGUCAACCAGCUGAAGCAGUGGAUCACCACGCUGAUGAUGUCCAUCACCAAGGAGGAGGAGACAGCCGCCGAGCUGGAGCUCAAAGCCCGAGUCUUCCACUUCGGCGAGUACAAGGGUGCUCAGGAGGACAAGCUGCUGGAGAGCCUGAACCACAAGGUGCUGGACGUGUACCGGCAGUGCGUCGGCACCCAGCAGGAGUCCAACCUGGGCACUGUGCAGAUGCUGACCGUCAUCGAGCACCAGCUGGACGAGCUGCUUGAGAACCUGGAGCGUGUGCCCCAGGCCAAGAUCGAGCAGGCCGAGAAGGCCAAGGAGAAGGAGCGGCGCCUGAAACUCCGGGAAGAGAAGGUCAAGAUGCAGAAGCAGCUUCAGGAAGAGCGUCUACAGCGGGCCCGGGCUCGGGCCCAGGCCGAGAUCAAGAAGAAGAGAGGCAGAAGACUGGUGUGCCGCUCCCGGCCCCCGGCUCUGAAAACCAAGAAGGAGCCUGAGCACGUGCUGAUGGACAAGGACAAGGAGGAGCAGCUGUUCUUCUUCACCUAGCCUGCCGGGCCGCCGGCCUGGCUCACGGCGCAGGAGACACGACGGCAGGAAGCAGAGACAGGCUGCGCCCCAGGCCUCCUGCUCUGCCCGCCUGGCCUGCCGGAACAUGCAUUAGAAUCUGGCCUCACUGUGACAAAGGGACCACUUCUGCCCCGGAGUGUGACAAAAUCAACCCGACCAGGAACACCAGCCAAGGCGUGGGGAAAUGGCCUGGUACACAGCUCUCAGAAGGGAUACGGGUGCUUCUGUCUCUCUCAAGCCAGAUGCUACAACACAGAAGCUGAAAGACCCCAUUUGGUUUUACCACAGAGAAAGCUGUGUCUGACUAGGGAAACAAACUCGACCCUAUUUUCCUGCACAAUGUGUUUCCUUAAAUGAACAAGUGCUCCAUGGCUCAGAUCGAAUGGGACAGGGAUGUCCACGCACAGCCCAGCACAGGAAAGUUGUGCAUUUUGCUCUGAAGGCAAGCCUUGCCUCACCGAAGCACUCUGCUCAUACAUAGCAGUUUCAAAUAGCACGGCCCCAAAUUGGUUCCUGAUAAAAUGUAAGGAAAACAUUUUCAAUAAAUGUACCCCAAAGUCUCUGAAGAACUAGGCUGCCCUUCUGAGCAGAAACCAAGGUCUCACCCAGGCCUGCAAGACCAUGGACCAAAGUCUUGGGGGAACAGGGAUGGGAGGCGUUGUCCUUGGUCCCCAGGCAGAGGGCAGCUGUCACUGCAGGUCCCGCAGGUUGACCGUGCUCCCUGGGCACUGCACGUCCUCAGGUCCAGCGGCCCCGCCAGCUGCAGGAAGCACCUCCUGCAAAGGCAAGCAGAGCCAUGAGGAGGGGCAGCCACACAGCCGCUCACCAACCACCAGCAGACGCCCUGGAGCCACAAAGGUGCGCCUGACUUUUCUCGAUUAAAAUGACAUGGUUUCCUCUUAUUUUAAACGUAGGUUCCUCGAAGAAGAUAUUAAUAUAAACAAAAAUACGGAAAAAAAUAAACCCAAUACUUGCAUUGUAGGUUUUCUCAAAAUUGAGACUAUCCUUAUUUCAUCUAUAACCCUUUUCCCACUCAGUAUGUGGGAAGCAUCUUGCCCAGGUAUCAGGCAUCCGCCUGGCCAUCGAUGGCUGCCCAGGACUCAGCCCCACGGCUACACCAUCACCCGCCUAAUUCACCUCCUCCUGCUAGAAGGAACAUCCCCACGUCAUUAGAUUCGAGGCUACGAUGCACAUCUUUGGGCACACAUUCUAGAAAACGUGGCCGUCACUGCGCAGACACCAUGGAGUGCCCUCUCACAGACCUAGAGGUACAGUCAUCUACACACCCAGGCUGCGUGGCACUAAAUCUCACGGCACCACCAUCGUACGCGCAGUCCAUCAUCGACCGCGACGCGGCGGUGCAGCGCACGACGGGCUGUAAGAAACAGCAAACAUCCUGGCACCCAACCCAAUGAGGCCCACCUCCGUGACGAGACUCGCAGAGGCAGAAGCCUCUAACAGUCUUACUAGCACACCCAGAGCUGGGAGGCGUCCAGACCUGGAGGACAUAGACGGGCAUGUCAACGGCGAGCAGCGGGCGGAAGCCUCAAGAACCUUCUGUGUCAAGCACCAAGCACUCCCAUUUUACAGAUGAUACAACCAAAGCCCAGACUGCUUAACUAACUUGCUCAAGACUACACUAGCUGACUCUCCACAGCCUCUCCCAGGAUCCCAGACCCCACGGAUGUGGUCACCCUGCUCUUCUCACUCAGCUCGCCACUUCAAAGUCCUACGCUGUCUCUGUGCCUCCCUGGCCGCGUGGUCCUCUGAGGCCCAGAAGAUGCUCAGUGAAGAAACAGCAUGUGAUUGGACCAGGGCGGGGUUCACAUCCUCAGCUUUUAAACCUCUUCUCUCCCAAAACCCGCCCAAAUUAUGGUACUUCCCUAUUCUGGCCCUUCAAAGAUGAGACUGGAAGUGAAGGUGUCCAGAACUGUGGAGGUGAGCGUGUCCAGUGAGCACCCAUGGAGUGGAUGCCAGCUGCUGGGCCCCAGGCAGUCAAGAGGCUAUAUCCUCUGGCGUGCGAUGACCAGUCCCCAGAGAUGGGGGUGACCAAGCCACUGAGGAAGCCCCUUCACCCCAGGCCUGAAAAGAGAAGCAGGGGCUGGGGAUGGGCAGCACCAGGAGGAGUGAGGCACCGACGGUGCCCAUGUGGCCAGAAACAACAGUGUCCACACCUCACAGAACUCCAGGGGAGAUGCCGACGACAGACCGCGUCGGGGGAGCCAGACAGAGGCCCUCGUCCGGCCUCCUCCUCUGGCUCGCUGGUUCUUACCUGCAGUAACUGGACCUGAAAGCACUGCACCCCGGCCGCUGGAGCUGGUGCUGGCAGGCCUCCACUGGGCACCACGAGGUUCCCACACAACCAACCGCUCUGGCUCGUGUGGAAGUGAGCAGGACUGAGUCUGCCACCUUUCGUCCUCCUCUGAGCAGACCCCGGGGCGCCUGAAAGGAAACACACAAUGUACAGUGCACUGCUUGGGGCCUGCCCUCACUGAGGCCACACGCGGGGAGACGGCCGUCCCGCUGUCACUCUGCACAGCCUUGCAGACUGAACCUUACUCAACAGGGAGAGUCACAAGGUAGGAGGUGGAAAAAACAGGAUUUUGAUUGGAAAGUUUAGCCAAUUUCUCAUACAUCUCUUUUGGACACACAGCAAUCAGACUCCACUUGCCCGUCUCUUGAGGGCAGAUUCUUCCUCAUCCCCCAACUCCAACAGCUCCAGGCGUGCAGAAGAACCCGAAACCACUGAGCACAACGACCACGCCGAGCAGCAGGACCGCAGAAAAGGGGAGGGAGAAAGCAGGCCCGUGUCCUCGACCUUGGGCACCCCAGCACAUGCUUAAUAGCCGCCAAAUCCUUCAGGCUGUUUCUGUCCACCUUCAUUCUGUCCAUCACUUCAUUGGGAUCAUAAAAAUACGCUCUUAAAAAAAUUAAGUACAAGGAAGAAAGAAAAAGUCCUAAGACCCAGAAAGGGUUUCUCUGACACCCACAUGGUUUGUCAGCAGCAGGAGACCCUGGAGCCAGAGACCAAUGGCCUGGAUUCAAAUCCUGGCUCCUCCAGUGACCGUGCUCCUGGACCCUGGACAAGUAACCUGAGCCUGGCCUGUGUUCUGCCUGUAAAACGGGAGCAAUAGCCCCUCCCGCAGAGACUGGGGAGGAUUAAGUAAGGAGAUAUGUGAUAAGAGUUUAGAACAGUGCCUGGCUCCCAGUGAGCCCCGGGGAAGUUUAGGUGGUGCUACUGCUGUGUCCCUGGACGCACGUAUAUGAAUGGUUCCGUAAGACAAUCUUACAAGGAACAGCACAGAAUUAAUCUUAAUAAAAGUCUUAAAUUUAAUUUUGUUGAAUUUAACAAAAGGAAAAGAAACAAGUGAAACUGAAGGACUUGCUAAACUUCUGGAAAAUAUUUGUGAUAAUCUCUAAUUUCUAAAGUGAAACAGAAAAGAUUAAAAAUAUGAGAGGCUGGAUCCUUUGUUUAGGUUUUUGGACUAGUAAGUUUCCAUUUUAAACAGGACUGGUUAACGCUGCUACCCAGGAUGAGCUGUCUUUGUUCCAUCAGGUUUUGCUCUAAGGUUUCAGGCCGACAUGAGUCCAGGGGUCCCAGCUGCAGACUGGGAGCCCCAGGCGAGCACCACGUCUGAUCCUUGCUCAUCUCACUCCAGACGCCUCCACAUCUCUCACAGCCCCGCACGCCCCGAGUGCUUGCAUGCUGCGGACGUCGGUGGCCUUCAGCCGGGAUGAACUCCUGGGCACAGCUCCUGGCCCUUGGCACCUGACAGCCAGGGCUCUGGAGGCGUUUUCCUGCACACAGCCUGACGCCUUCUCCCCAGGUGCCUGAAGAAUCCUUUAUCUCUGAAGUGCAGUUACACCCAGGAUGUUGGAUGGCGAGUCUCAGGUCCGAGCAGCACAGUUCAGCCCCUUCACUGUGGGGAAGCGCAGUUCCAUACAUCCCUGAGUACUUCCUUUGCUGUUCCACCUGCUGGGUUCUGCACCUCAGGGAACCCAGCCACCCAAGUGCUGGAUUCGCUCUGGCUGUUCUCCACACUUCUCCUCACUGCUAUACAGCUUUCAAACAACACAGCAGCGCUGGGACUAGUGCAAGGAAGGAGGUGAGGGGCAUACGUCACUUGCUCUUCCCUAACAGAAAUGCUACCUGACUUCCCACUCUCCUUGGAGGGGUACACUAUUCCACCACCUCUGGAAUUCUACUUGAAUGCAUUCUCAUGCUUUGAAGUCAUUUAUCACCCUAGGGUAUUUCCCUGAAAUAAAAAUAUAUACAUAAAUUGAA